This 85-nucleotide non-coding RNA is filed under the name Schistosoma japonicum. Lineage: Eukaryota; Metazoa; Platyhelminthes; Trematoda; Strigeidida; Schistosomatidae. The record is from RNAcentral.
GGAGGAAGCCAGGCAGUGGUGGCGCACGCCUUUGAUCCCAGUGCCUAGGAGGCAGAGGCAGGCAGAUUUCUGAUUGGAGGCCAGC